This 255-nucleotide ribosomal RNA is filed under the name uncultured bacterium. RNAcentral's name for it is "partial 16S ribosomal RNA". It matches the Rfam family "Bacterial small subunit ribosomal RNA", at positions 524 to 776 of the family's 1533-position model. The record is from RNAcentral.
UACGUAGGGGGCAAGCGUUGUCCGGAUUCAUUGGGCGUAAAGAGCUCGUAGGCGGCUUGGCAAGUCGGGUGUGAAACCUCCAGGCUCAACCUGGAGACGCCACCCGAUACUGCCAUGGCUAGAGUCCGGUAGGGGACCACGGAAUUCCUGGUGUAGCGGUGAAAUGCGUAGAUAUCUGGAGGAACACCGGUGGCGAAGGCGGCAUCCUGGACCAAUUCUGACGCUGAGUGAGCGAAAGCCCGGGGAGCAAACGGG